GUGUCAGCCGCCGCGGUAAAACGUAGGUGGCGAGCGUUAUCCGGAUUCAUUGGGCGUAAAGAGCUUGUAGGCGGCGUCAUAAGUUGGACGUGAAAACUCCGGGCUUAACUUGGAGAGGCCGUUCAAUACUGUGGUGCUGGAGGGUGUCAGAGGGAAGUAGAAUUCCUGGUGUAGCAGUGAAAUGCGUAGAUAUCAGGAGGAAUACCCGUGGCGAAGGCGGCUUCCUGGGACACAUCUGACGCUGAGAAGCGAAAGCUAGGGGAGCAAACGGGAUUAGAAACCCCCGUAGUCC
RNAcentral lists this ribosomal RNA (292 nucleotides) under uncultured bacterium. Its description in RNAcentral is "partial 16S ribosomal RNA". It matches the Rfam family "Bacterial small subunit ribosomal RNA", at positions 505 to 796 of the family's 1533-position model. The record is from RNAcentral.